UAUGUAUUCAUUUACUUAAAAAUAAUAAUAAUGAAACCAUUACAUAUUAAUAUAUUUUUACAAAAAAAGUGUAGUUUUCAAAACAAAAAAUUUAGAGAAGAGUGGUAUUCUUUUACAUUUUUGCAUAUCUCAUUAAUAUGUCUUAACAAAGACAGCUGGAUUAUCUAUGACCUUCUGCAUUCAACCUAUUGCACUACACUCUUCUGUUGAAGAAAAUCCAGCUUCACAAGAAUGUGGUAAUGGAAGAAUCCUUGAAAGUGUCUGAAGCCCAAGACCACAUUUAGAGAACUACUGUACUAGAUAAACACAAGUCAAAGCCUUUCUUUUUUUAAAGAAAGCUAAAUUACCAUACUGGCUGGUCAAAAUUUGUAAGUUAUAUACCAAUCCAAAAAGUAAAGCAAUAAUUUUGAACUGUUGGGGAAUUCAGGUGAUUAAAAAAAAAACUAAGAAAAAAUAUUUACUGAACAUUAGUUAUGUGUAAGGCAUUGUGUUUACAAACACAAAGAAGCAAAGUACACAUCAUCCCAAAUAUUACUUUGUGUUCAUCCUGUUACACAAAACCAGAAAAACAGGAAUGUUUGCAAUGAAAAUAACUGAAAUAAAAUAUGCUUUUGGUAUAAUCCAUUUAACAAAAAAUCCUAAAUACAACACCUGAUGUGCCAGGGUUCACAUUAAUAAUCUUUACUAUGAAAGGUCUCUGAAGGUAAAGCUUGGAAGAAAGGUUUAAAAAAAAAAAAAAAAACUGUUAACAACAAAAAACUUUAGAACAGACCACCUCAAGGAACAACUUUCUAGAUAUUGCCUGUAUUCAUUAGAAAUGUAUUAAAGUAUGAUAGG
Long non-coding RNA from Cebus imitator (Panamanian white-faced capuchin), 837 nucleotides. RefSeq lists it as uncharacterized. The record is from RefSeq and is a predicted model, not a curated record. Lineage: Eukaryota; Metazoa; Chordata; Mammalia; Primates; Cebidae. The transcript has 2 exons.